Molecule: long non-coding RNA, 1695 nt
Organism: Pocillopora verrucosa
Lineage: Eukaryota; Metazoa; Cnidaria; Anthozoa; Scleractinia; Pocilloporidae
Source: RefSeq, a predicted model, not a curated record
CCUGUAAGGCCAUCCUUUGAAUUGAGAUGCACUUCUGAUGGGGGCUCAAAUCAGGCAAAGUUGACUUCUUUUGACUUUAGAAAGGCCUUGACUAAUUGCCCUUUAUUACCAGGUGUCGAGUCACUUCCCUUGGUUUUAAUGUUGUACAUUCUGGCUUUUUCUGACCAGUUUGGAGGACCAUCAGGCCAUGACUCUAGGUCAGCUAGUAGCUGGUCCAACUUUCCUUCUAUGUUAUUAGAUGAAGCUGAAGCUGACCUUUGGUGGACCAUUCUUUGGACUUGUCUUGAAGUGUAAGACUGACGAAGGCUAAGUCUUUUCGACAGGUUAAGGGUUCUUUUGAAGAUCAGCCUCAGGGACAAGCACUAGAAUGUCACUAAGUGAAAGUUUUCUUUGCAUUUUUCAUAACAAAUGCAGCUCACGGAAGGACGAACAAAGAAGAGUAAAGAUCUGUUAUUUGGUUUACAGACUUCAUCACACAACAGAUAGAUUUAAGUUAGAAUGGAACUUUUGGUACUUGUAUAUCUUGAAUUGUAUCAAUGUUUAUAGUAACAUAGAGAUCAUAGACUAGAAUCACCGGCUGUUAGACUCUUAAAAAUUGGCUGGAAAGCUGUUUACACACAAGACAUUGUUGACGCGAAUAAGUUCCGUUGUUUUGAGCUGCACUGGUCAGCCUUUCGGUAGUGCUUUCUUUGAUUUGUAAACCUUCAGAUAAUACCUAAAAAUUUGUUCUAUUUACACUUUGUUAAAACAUGAAUAAGAAAGUAAAUGACAAAUAGGUCAUUGCGUUUCAGGAUUUAUAAAUACUUGCAAUUACAUUAUGUUCUGUUUUUGUUCCUGAUCACGACGGUCGCGACCGGUCUGACCGCACUGGCCUUUUUCGCAGAUGUGAAUAGUUUCCUUUUAGAAGUCUUUUUUUGUGUAAGGAUUUUAGUCAAUUAUAUUGAUGUUUGAAUGAAAGGCUAACUAUUAUUCUAAAACAAAAUUCAACGCCAAAAGAGAAUUCGCCCUUGGUUCUCUGUAAUGGGGGAAUGGCAUUGUGUUUUAACGCUUGGUGGGAAUCCUCGAAAAGUGAACUCAGCCGUUGAUUAGUUUAAAAGAUGUCCCAUUAUUCUGUUUGAUUCCAUAAUUUCCUCUGAGAGUAAAAUGUCACACAUGGACGGGUUUCAAAGUAGAGAAGCUAGAAACUUUACUUCAACCGUGUGUACUCAACCUGAACAACACAUGCCCUAUGAUUUACCAGUAGAUGAAUUCAAGCAUCUGAAAGCCUACGCAGUACGAAAUCGAUUUCGUUUUACGUAACAUCUCCACGAAUAUUUCACGUAACGAUGCGCGGAGUAGCCACGCGCAAUGGGCUUGUAAUGAAAAAUCUUUAAUAUAACUUACUGUCAUUUCUUUGACCAAAUGUUUGUCCAAAGGGCAUUGAAAGCAGCAUGCAGUAUGUUUAUCAAUCACAGUCAACAUCAAAUCGAAUUUAGUGCUCUUGUGUUAUAACUAUUCAGUAACAAAUUGACUCGAUAAGCAACAACGAUAAUCACACCGAUGAAGACUUGACAAACAGUCAUUGUGAAGUCGAGUUAUUCAACUGACAUUUCCAUCUCAAGGGUUUUGAUCGAAAUCCUGAAAAAUUCAAUAGCAAAAGAGUACUUGUACUGUUUGUUAAAGAGAGAAGUCUAGAAUAAAUAUAAACCAAUGUAA